UAGAGUGUAAACCGAGACCAGAGAGGAGCUGCUUCUCUAACGUAAUGCCCCGCCCAGGCGCGCGCUUGCCUGCGCGGGACUCCUUAAACUGAAAACCCGGAGAGCGCUGGCCUCCUCAGAGAACGUCAGUUGACCCUGGUAGGACUCUUAGGUUACAGGGUGCGGUUGGGCCGCUGAGGAACCUGCGACAAAACUCGAGCUACACAAUUAGGAUCGCAUCUAAACGCCCAUAGGGCACUAGAAAGCCCUACUGUGAAUACAGCUAGAGAGAAACCAGAAUAAAAACCGUCUGGCUAGAAUUUCCUCCGGUCGAGGGUCUAAAACCUGAGAGAAAUCUUUACCUUCUCAGUUCUGGUUCGCACGCGUACAGGACGACUAGGAUCAAGAAAAUUGUGCCCUGCGACAUUCCGUACCCCGCUUCCCUUUCCCUUUUUUAGACUCUUGAACCGGAAGAAGAACGUUUUAAUGGUUCUUUGCCCUUUUCGGAGCGGGCCUACCUGGUGGAGUCUUGGAAGACCUUUAGGGAACUGUUAAAAUUCAGACAAAAACAAACAUCAGAUAAGUUUUUAGUGAGAGAUAGGCCCAGUGAGCCUGAAGCAAUUCUAGUGGAGUAAAGAGACAUAAGAAAAGAAGAACCUCAGAAGAACAGCUACCUGAUGUUUUAUAGAAAGGGCCUUCUCUUCCAAACAAUAGCAUUCCUCCAUCCCUCUUCUCCGAAUUCAGUCACCAAGAGCUCUCAGCAUUAAAGGAACUAACUUCAGAAGAGACAGACUUCAACGUCUAUGCAUUCCAGCUCCAGGAGAUUUGCUGACAUUCAACCAUGGAACCAGUAUAAUGUGAAGUCAGGAUGACUAACCCUGGAUGAUGCACACCAGACCAUCACUUGCCUUAUUGGAAUGGACUGUGUUCAUCUGCACGUAGAUCACUCUUCAACCCCCUCCCUUGAUUUCUUUGUUCUGGUUCCUCUCCUUCCUUAUAAAAACCAUGGCCUCCACUGAUUUGGCGGGGUGGGUGGCAGGUGGUAUUUGAGACAUGAGUCCCCCACCCCCAUAUUCUAAGUGGCCAGCACCUGAAAACAAACCACUUCCCUUUACAUCAGCACCUGCCUCUCGAAUAUUACCUUUUGUAGCAGCAGGCAGCUGUAUGUGUGUUCAAUUACAAUUUUUGGUGACCCAGAUGGACAAUGUUGACUCCGGGAAAGCCCAGAGGGCCCAGGCUGGAGUCCCAGCUCCUUGUGACAGGCAGACCCAGGCAGGUAUUACAGGAAUUUUUCAGCAGCUGCCAAGAGUUCUUUAUCUCAGAGACUCUUCCUGCUCUGUCUCUUUCAAGGCAUCAGCUGCCAUUAAAUGCUUUGAUGAUGAAAGGAAGUGGAUUGUUGGUGGGAUAAUGAGCCCAGUCUGGGUAAGUCCCUGGUGUGCACAACCAAGAGCCCCUGCCCCACCACUCGGGUUCUUUGAACUAUUUGGGAUACUUUAAGAAUCAAUAGACAUUGCUCAGUGGUAGGCACUCCUCAGUGACAAGAAAAAUAUCCCAUUUCCCCAGUUUGGGUUUUGGUGGAGCGUUCUUUUGGUUUUGCUUUGGGUAUUGUUUGCUUUUCUUGCAUUCAGUUACAUAAGGUUCCCACACUAUGCCUUACUUGUUUGUGCCAUCUUGUUAAUUACUUUAGGGAAACCCUGGAAUCGUCUUUUAACAAAUGGAUUGAGAUCUGUCCCAUCCGGUAAGAACCGCACAAUUUGGGUACCUCAUUUACAUGAGAUGAACCUAACCCGAACAGGAACUUUUGUUAUAAAAGAUUGCUGGCUUCCCCUUUGUUGCAGUCACACAAUUUAGGUUUUUUGAAUCUGUCUCCUGGGCAGAAGCUCCAUUUUAGUCAAAUAAAUGCCUUUUAUUCUUGCUUAUAUUCUAAAAUUAAUUUUGGUUUACAACCAUCUGGUGCAAUGCAACAUAAAGUAAGCAGCAUCAUGUAUAAAACAAUUCUUGUCAAAAUAUUUCGAAUCAAUCUGUUGCCAGUGAAAAUGUCUUCUUGUGACAUCAUGAGAAAGGCAUUUCAAAGUGCACAUGCGUAGGAGAUGUUUAAGCAUAGUGGCAAGAUUUAUUUGGAUGAUAAAAAUAAUACUCUCUAGAGGAUGGGAGGGGGCAGGCUGUAGCAGAAACUGUCCCAACAUUCCUGAUAAUCCUCCAUGUAUUUUCUUGGUUUUCAGGAAUGAGCAGGCUUUAUUUCAAACUAUCCAGCCCACUUGGAUUCUCCUGGGCUUUGCUGGAUGUGCCCCUUAACCAAUAACUUUUCUGGAUCUGCCAGGUUUUUAUACUCUUAUCCAAUCUGAUUCUUUACUGAGAUUUUCCUAGGUUGACUAGGCCCCUUCAUGUCACCAUUUUGUCUCCUACUGUGCAUGCUCUGAAGUUUUGCUAUAUCAUCAAAUUUCUGCUGGGCAUGUACCUAACCAAGAAAUUUUCUCUGAAAUUUUAUCACUCCCCCAUGAUAACCCUGGCUAGUGGUUGUCCCCAGGAGAGAUUGGAAAACCAAUUCUUCAAGCUCAUUCCUGCCCACUUGGGGAUAUCUCAGGGAUUAAGUUCCUUUUGCAAAAAAUACAGCAAUCCCCUGGGGAGUCUGUAAAUUCUGCAGUUUCCUAGUGAAUCAGGCUUAAAAGAUUUAGCUUUCUAGUUUAUUGGGCUUAAUGUCUGAUUCUAUUUGCUCCCUUCCUUAACUAAAUAGCUACCCACACUAACAAAUCCAAUGAAGACUUAGAUCUGCCCAUGCCUAUAUAUGUGGUCAAUUAAUCUAUGACAAAUUAAGAAAGAAUAUAAAAUAAGGAAAGAAAGCCUAUUCAAUACAUGGCAUUGGGAAAACAGAACAGAUGCAUGCAAAAAUUAAAACUGGACCACUUUCUUACACUAUAUGUGAGAAUAAACUCAAAAUGGAAUAACCCAGUAGGGUUCAUAAUCAAAAAAACUAUAGCAUAGGUCAUGUGUCCAAGCAUAGGAAUGUAUCCAAGAGAUAUCUCUUGGAUACUCAAUACUAGCAUGUACUGAAAUGCAAAAAACAAAAAAGAAGAAAAGAAAAACUGCAAAUUUGCAUUUAUUAUGUUUCUAUAAUAAAAUAUAUGAUUUUUACUUUCAGUUAAAAUCUAGAGAUUAUUUCUUUUAUUUAAUCUCGAUUGUAUUUUUCCAUUAUCAUUUAGUCUCCUUAUACCUCCCUCCAUCCAGUUAUCACCACAUGGUUGGUUAUCCAUGUCCAUGAGUUCUUUCUUCUUUUGGCUCACCAUCCCACCACAGUUGUCAUCCUCCUCUCUAUCUAUGAGUGUGUCCCCAUUUUUCUCUUAGUUCAGUUUGUUGAAUACAUUCAACAUGAGUCAAAUCAUACGGUAUUUGUCUUUCUCUGACUGGUUUAUUUCACUUAGCAUGAUAUUCUCCAAGUCCAUCCAUACUGUUGCAAAGGGUAAAAUUUUAUUCUUUUUUAUGGAUGAAUAGUAUUCCAUUGUAUAAACUCUCCAUAGUUGUUUUUUUACAUUCAUGCACUGAUGGACCUUGGCCUUCUCCCAUAUUUUGGAAAUUGUAAAAAAUGCUGCAAUGAACAUAGGGGUGCUUAUGUUCUUUCAAAUCAGUGUUUUAGGUUCCUUAGUAUAUAUUCCCAGAAGUGGGAUCAGUGGGUCAAAAGGCAGCUCCAUUUUUAAUUUUCUGAGGUAUCUCCACACUGCUUUCCACAGUGGCUGCACCCAUCUGCAUUCCCACCAAUAGUGCAAAAGUGUUCCCCUUUCUCCACACCCUCACCAGCACUUGUUGUUUGUUGAAUUAUUGAUAAUAGCCAUUCUGACAGGUGUGAAAUGAUAUCUCAUUGUGGUUUUUAUUUGCAUUUCUCUGAUGACGAGUGACAUUGAGCAUCUUUUUAUAAGUCUAUUGGCCAUCUGUGUGUCCACUUUGAAAAAGUGUGUAAAUUAUUAAACUAAGAAAUAUAAAAACAUAAAGAAUAAAAUUGUUUCAAAUAAUAGAAACAUGGAUAUUGCUAAAAAAAAUACAACCAAAAUGUCUUUAACAUUAAUUAAUCAGAAUCUUCAAUAGUUGGCUUUGCACAACCUUUAUAACAGUCAUUGCAGACAAUAGUGCUCUGCUGAAGGCAUAAAUACUUUUCACAACACUUGUGAAAGUAUUUUGACAAGCAACUCAUUUGAAUGCAUAACACUUUACACAUCUUUUUUUUCCCCCUGCUUGUCAGGGAGACUAUGUCAUCAUUAGAGUUUUCUUCAAUUUGUGUUUCAGAUUGAUGAACUUUUGGGUGUAAAGGCUUAUGCACACCUGUAGAGACUUCUGAACACCUUUUUAUUUGUUUUGACACUGUUAUAAGAUUUCCAAUAAAUAUUCUGCACCUUAUUUUCAUGUUUCCAUUCAGCAUAUGAAUAAUCUGAGCAUUUACUCCUGCAAUAUCCCAAAUUGGGUAAACGAAAACAUAGGCCAUCUUCUGGUGUUCCUGGCUACAUUAUAUGUACCUAUCACUGGACCCACAGUGUUAACUCCUGGCUUCAUUUGGUUGUAAUAUUCUAUUAUAUCAGGCUUUUUUGACUCUAUGAAAUUACAGCAUCAUUGAAAUGCAUACUUGAAACUAAAAUUACAUUUCAUCACUAUUUGUGUAUAUGAAAUACAAGUGUGCAAUCUUCACCAACACAAAAUAAGUUAGAUAUGUUUAGCCUGUUUUUAGAAGACACAAAUUCAGGUGGUAGUUGGAGUUUAUUCUUACAAACAGUGCCUAUGUAUGAAAGUUGCUUCUUUUCAGGUUGGAGAUAAGAUUUAUAUCCAUGAACUAGUUAUCUGCUGUAAUACUAUGUCUUAAUAAAUAAAGUCUCUUGAUUACAUUUGCUGCUUUAUUACUAAUU
Artibeus jamaicensis (Jamaican fruit-eating bat) is the source of this 4865-nucleotide long non-coding RNA. RefSeq lists it as uncharacterized. The record is from RefSeq and is a predicted model, not a curated record. NCBI's taxonomy places the organism in Eukaryota, Metazoa, Chordata, Mammalia, Chiroptera, Phyllostomidae. The transcript is spliced from 3 exons.